CCUGUUGAUACUCAGGGAUACUCGCCCGUUCGGCUUCCCAAGCUGAAUACGCGGGUUCGAUUCCCGUCAUCGGCUCCA
This 78-nucleotide transfer RNA is filed under the name Mycobacteroides abscessus. RNAcentral's name for it is "tRNA-Gly(ccc)". Lineage: Bacteria; Bacillati; Actinomycetota; Actinomycetes; Mycobacteriales; Mycobacteriaceae. The record is from RNAcentral.